UCCGAGUUGACCCCGGCAGUCUUCGAUGAGUCCCCGCCAUAACGCGCUGGCAACAUCGAACGAGGGUUGCGCUCGUUGCGGGACUUAACCCAACAUCUCACGACACGAGCUGACGACAGCCAUGCACCACCUGUGCACCGGCCCCGAAGGGCUGCCGUAUUUCUACGACAUUCCAGUGCAUGUCAAGCCUAGGUAAGGUUCUUCGCGUUGCGUCGAAUUGAACCACAUGCUCCGCUGCUUGUGCGGGCCCCCGUCAAUUCCUUUGAGUUUCAAUCUUGCGAUCGUACUUCCCAGGUGGGAUACUUAAUGCUUUCGCUCAGACACUUACAGUUUAUCGCAAAUGUCGAGUAUCCAUAGUUUAGGGCGUGGACUAC
This 374-nucleotide unclassified non-coding RNA is filed under the name uncultured bacterium. Its description in RNAcentral is "contains 16S-23S intergenic spacer region". The record is from RNAcentral.